Molecule: unclassified non-coding RNA, 149 nt
Filed under: soil metagenome
Description: partial internal transcribed spacer 1
Source: RNAcentral
CCGAGUUAUACAACUCAUCAACCCUGUGAACAUACCUAUAACGUUGCCUCGGCGGGAACAGACGGCCCCGUAACACGGGCCGCCCCCGCCAGAGGACCCCCUAACUCUGUUUCUAUAAUGUACUUCUGAGUAAAACCAGAAAUAAAUCA